This 484-nucleotide ribosomal RNA is filed under the name uncultured bacterium. RNAcentral's name for it is "partial 16S ribosomal RNA". It matches the Rfam family "Bacterial small subunit ribosomal RNA", at positions 30 to 507 of the family's 1533-position model. The record is from RNAcentral.
AUUGAACGCUGGCGGCAGGCCUAACACAUGCAAGUCGAGCGGAUGAAGGGAGCUUGCUCCUGGAUUCAGCGGCGGACGGGUGAGUAAUGCCUAGGAAUCUGCCUGGUAGUGGGGGAUAACGUCCGUAAACGGGCGCUAAUACCGCAUACGUCCUGAGGGAGAAAGUGGGGGAUCUUCGGACCUCACGCUAUCAGAUGAGCCUAGGUCGGAUUAGCUAGUUGGUGGGGUAAAGGCCUACCAAGGCGACGAUCCGUAACUGGUCGGAGGGGAUGACCAGUCACACUGGAACUGAGACACGGUCCAGACUCCUGCGGGGAGAAGCAGUGGGGAAUAUUGGACAAUGGACGAAAGCCUGAUCCAGCCAUGCCGCGUGUGUGAAGAAGGUCCUCGGAUUGGAAAGCACUUUAAGUUGGGGGGAAGGGCAGUAAGUUAAGACCUUGCUGUUUUGACGUUACCAACAGAAUAAGCACCGGCUAACUUCGUG